UACGUAGGGUGCAAGCGUUGUCCGGAAUUAUUGGGCGUAAAGAGCUCGUAGGCGGUCUGUCGCGUCUGCUGUGAAAACUCGGGGCUUAACCCCGGGCCUGCAGUGGGUACGGGCAGACUAGAGUGCGGUAGGGGAGACUGGAAUUCCUGGUGUAGCGGUGAAAUGCGCAGAUAUCAGGAGGAACACCGAUGGCGAAGGCAGGUCUCUGGGCUGUAACUGACGCUGAGGAGCGAAAGCGUGGGGAGCGAACAGG
RNAcentral lists this ribosomal RNA (253 nucleotides) under uncultured bacterium. Its description in RNAcentral is "partial 16S ribosomal RNA". It matches the Rfam family "Bacterial small subunit ribosomal RNA", at positions 524 to 776 of the family's 1533-position model. The record is from RNAcentral.